Peromyscus californicus insignis is the source of this 1340-nucleotide long non-coding RNA. RefSeq lists it as uncharacterized. Lineage: Eukaryota; Metazoa; Chordata; Mammalia; Rodentia; Cricetidae. The record is from RefSeq and is a predicted model, not a curated record. The transcript has 4 exons.
AGUUGGUGGAUCAAGGCCAUGUCUUCAGAACGACGGCGCAGAUACCACCCCAAGAUUGGAAGCUGGGGUCUGAUAGAUCCCAAGACCCCUACCUCCUACAUCCCCUUCUGGAGAACUCUGUGGCUGAGCUGCGACUGUCACAGGAGAGAUCAGCAGGAAGAAGCUGACUGGCCAAUAGCUGGACAGGAUAAGGCUAGGUGGGAGAGCCAAAGUGAGAAUGAUGGGAAGAAGAGCAGAGUCUGGAGUCGUGAGAGAUGCCGGGAGAAGCAAGACGAACAUGCGCUAUGGAAAGAAGGUACGAGUGACUACGUUCAACCAUUUCCUCUUUCAUGGGUUCAACGGCCAAGCGACCUGUCAUCUAAGCUGCCACAAUGACCCGAUGACACCGUCCUAGCCUCGUCCCUCUAUGUAGUGAACGAAAGGCUUCUGGCCAUGAGAGACAACUUAAAGGAACAGUCCCUGCAGAAACUGGAGCAGACAACCUUUGCCAAAGGGCCACGUACUUCCAUCAGGGAAAGCUGGGAGUCUUCCUCCGACAGGACCAAGUGGUCGCAGUCAAGCAUAAUAAUGCCUGCGAGGCUGGUUGCUCAUGUUGCAUUCAGUGGUUGGUAGGGAAGGAAGCGACCAUUGACUUUCAAACGCAUGCACAUGUACAAACAGCCCCGCCAAGCUCCGUUUGUUCGGCAGCGGCAAACACACGGACUGGAGCCAUUCAGUGUCAUCAAGAUCAAGGGUCCAAAUCACAAUAUAGCACAUCUGCCUCCCACGGAGCUCCUUGGAAAUGUUUCAAAGGGAUUGGCUGCCGCAGAGAGAAGAAGAAGAAUGGGGGGAUUGGCUGAACCUUGGGCCGCUUUCCUCCAUGGUCUGGUUUCUAAGGCUUCUUGAAAAGUCUCCGAGAACUUGGAGGGAAGAUUAAUGGUUGGCUUGAGCCUGAGAAGAUCCAAGUGAGUCAGUGUCAUCUGUCAGCCCAAGCAUUCUUAGCACUCUCAGGAACAUCCUGGAGAGGAUUCUGUUCCAUGGAUAUCGUGCAUACUUUUCCACGGAUUGAUUUCAGGAUGGGAUUAUAAUUUCUGCGUUAGCCUUCUGAUUCUUUUUUUUUUUUUAGCCUUCUGAUUCUUAAAUAGUAUGUCGGUAAUAAACCAACUCAUUUGAAUGGUAAAUAGCUGCAACUUGUUAAUACAAUUCAGGUGAUCCCUAGUAAGACAUUAUCACACCUGUCAGGGCCUCUCUCGACUGCUCAUCCUGAAAGCCACAGACCCCGUGACUAGCCUGGACCAUAAACACAUUCCAUGCUCUACUUCCAGUUUUAAGCAAAAAUAAAUAAAUAAAGCGUGAAAACA